RNAcentral lists this long non-coding RNA (1566 nucleotides) under Mytilus galloprovincialis (Mediterranean mussel). Lineage: Eukaryota; Metazoa; Mollusca; Bivalvia; Mytilida; Mytilidae. The record is from RNAcentral.
UAUUGGUUAAUCCUAAUUCCUGUUUUUAUGAUUUGCAGGAAAUGAUUAAUAUUGACUGAAUGAAGAAUCUUCAAAGUUAAAUGCUUAUUAGAUUAAAGGAAAUGUGAAGAUCAGACCCAAAGUAUGACAUAAGGAGAAGCAGUUAUGAAUUUUGAAAUUGGUAUAAAGGAGAGGUUAACGAUUCAGAGAAGACUUAAAGCAAAGUUUACAGGUAGGAUAUACUCGAUUGUUUGAUUUUUUGUGUAGCCUGCAAUUUUUGUCGCAGACAGUAUGACAUUGGAUAAUGAUCCGAUGGCGCCUGUGUUAGCUAUAACUUCUUUUAAAAGCUUCAUAUUUUAGAAGGUGGAAGACCUGGAUUAGGUAUACUUUGUAUAUAGAUGCCUUAAUAUGUUACAAAAUUUUUGUCUGUCACAUGGCCAUUGUCCUUGACCUCAUUUUUAUGGUUCAGUGACUACUUGAAAAAAAAUCUGUAAUGAGAUAACUAUAUUUGGUAUGUGUGUACCUUGCAAGGUAGGCAUGCCCAUCAGACAGUUUUCACUUGACCUCGACCUCAUUUCAUGGAUCAGUGAACAAGGUUAAGUUAUGGUGGUCAAGUCCAUAUCUCAGAUACUGUAUGCAAUAGGUCUACUAUAUUUGGUGUCUUGAAUGAUGUUAAGGAGAACAUGUCCAACUGGCAGGUGUCAUCUGACCUUGACCUCAUUUUCAUGGUUCAGUGGUCAAAGUAAACUUUUUGAGUUUUGGUCUUUUUUUAUAAUACUAGAUGCAAUAGGUCUUCUUUAUUUGGUGUAUGGAAAUAUUUUAUGAUGUACAUGUCAGUCAUGCAGAUUUGAUUUGACCUUGAACUCAUUUUCACGGUUCAUUGCUCAGUGUUAAGUUUUUGUGUUUUGGUCUGUUUUUCUUAAACUGUAAGCAAUAGGUCAACUAUAUUUGUUGUAUGGAAGAAUUGUUAGCUGCACAUGUCUGCUGGCAUGUUUCAUCUAACCUUGACCUCAGUUUCAUCUUUCAUUGGUCAAUGUUUAGUUUUCUUGGUUAAUGCAAAGUUUAUGUGACAUUUUUGAUAAAGUUUUGUAUUUAGGACUAUCAACAUAAUAUCAUUGAUUAGUAAUUAUAUAUAAAGAAGGUUAGACAUUUCAGCGUGUGCACUCUUGUCAAAACAUUUAUUAGAUUCAUAAACUAUCCUGGAUUUUUACCAAACUUGGACAGAAUCUUCUUACAAUCAAGGAAUAUUUUAAUUAUUUGUUUUCUUCUCAACACGCGAUUAACAUCAAAAGUAGGCGAGACACUGGGUUCUGUGGAAACCCUUACAAAUUUAAAAAAAAAAACCUUUCAUUUUUCGAUUAGUUCCUAAUUUACAUGCAUGUUUACCCUAUAUAUGACCUCCCCUUGUUCUCCUUGUGCAUUAAUCAGUUAUCAAACUUUGUAAUUAACAAUUUGUUUGAUUUAAGGCUGAUUAAACUCCAACAAGCAGUACCCUACUUUAGAAUUUAUGAUAUGAUAUAUGUUGUUUUUACUUUUCAGUAUCUUUAGAAAAGUUCAUAACAAGCUUUUGGUAUCUUUAGAAAAGAU